Molecule: ribosomal RNA, 497 nt
Filed under: uncultured bacterium
Lineage: Bacteria
Description: partial 16S ribosomal RNA
Rfam family: Bacterial small subunit ribosomal RNA
Source: RNAcentral
GAUGAACGCUGGCGGCGUGCCUAAUACAUGCAAGUCGAGCGAACAGACGAGGAGCUUGCUCCUCUGACGUUAGCGGCGGACGGGUGAGUAACACGUGGAUAACCUACCUAUAAGACUGGGAUAACUUCGGGAAACCGGAGCUAAUACCGGAUAAUAUAUUGAACCGCAUGGUUCAAUAGUGAAAGACGGUUUUGCUGUCACUUAUAGAUGGAUCCGCGCCGCAUUAGCUAGUUGGUAAGGUAACGGCUUACCAAGGCAACGAUGCGUAGCCGACCUGAGAGGGGGAUCGGCCACACUGGAACUGAGACACGGUCCAGACGCCUACGGGAGGCAGCAGUAGGGAAUCUUACGCAAUGGGCGAAAGCCUGACGGAGCAACGCAGCGUGAGUGAGGAAGGUCUUCGGAUCGUAAAACUCUGUUAUUAGGGAAGAACAUAUGUGUAAGUAACUGUGCACAUCUUGACGGUACCUAAUCAGAAAGCCACGGCUAACUACGUG